UUUCCGUAGGUGAACCUGCGGAAGGAUCAUUGUCGAUACCUGUCCAAAACAGAACGACCCGAGAACCAAAGAUCACCACUCGCGGUAAGGCCGAUUUCGUAACAGAUUUCGUGCCUGCCGAAUCCGUGGUUUCGCGUACCUUCCCGGUCGAGAAAAACUCUCGGCCUGGUCGUGCUCGUUGCUUCCGGAUAUCACAAAUCCCCGGCACGAAAAGUGUCAAGGAACAUGCAACCGAACGGCUAUAGCAUUCGCCUCCCCGGAGACGGUGUGUGCGCGGAUGCUUAGCUGCGAUAUAAAGUCUAAAACGACUCUCGGCAACGGAUAUCUCGGCUCUC
RNAcentral lists this unclassified non-coding RNA (335 nucleotides) under soil metagenome. RNAcentral describes it as "partial contains small subunit ribosomal RNA, internal transcribed spacer 1, and 5.8S ribosomal RNA". The record is from RNAcentral.